Molecule: long non-coding RNA, 2828 nt
Filed under: Citrus sinensis (sweet orange)
Lineage: Eukaryota; Viridiplantae; Streptophyta; Magnoliopsida; Sapindales; Rutaceae
Description: long non-coding RNA (CSIN_LNC001623)
Source: RNAcentral
CACCUGUGCAAUACAUAUUCAAAUUUAUUCACCAUGGUAACUAGUAUUAUACACGAAUACGCUCCAACCCAAUCCCAACCAAUAAUUAAUUACCACAUAUUAACUAGAAUAAGAAAAAAUUUGAUAAAACAAAUAGUAACACAUUACCUUCGGUGGCUUGAAUGGAUAAUCAGGUGGGAAAUGAAUGGAUACAAGAAAUACACCCCCAGCAAAUGGGCUGUCUGAUGGGCCCAUAAUUGUUGCUUGCCAAUGGAACAUGUCAUCAGCAACAGGGCCUGCAAAAUAGGCAGCACUCAAAAUUACAAAGUUCCAAAAGAUUAACUCAAAGCUGUGAUGGACUUAAAGGCAAAAAAGUUUAGAUAAUUAGAAAAGCAAGUGGAUUUGGAACCAAGAAAUAAAAUUCCAUUUCACCUAAUAUCUUCAAAGUUUUAUUCCUCCCAUCAUGUGAGAGAUUAGUGGGUUGAUAAGUCAAGUUAACUUCAUGAAUACAUAUAUAUAUAUAUAUAUAUCUUCAAUGACAAAUAAAAUAGAAAAAAAUAAGAAAACAUGCUGAGAUGGAAAUGAAGAAAGAACCAGUGCUGCGAGAAGAGAAGUGGAAUUGGAACCAAGAAAUAAAGUUCCGUUUCACCUGGUAUCUUAAAAACUUUAAGCCUCUCCAUCGUGGGAGUGAUUAGUGGGUAGAUAAGUCAACUCUAUGAGUAUAUAGUCUUCAAUGACAAAUGAAAAUAGAAACACAAAUAAGAUUGAGAAGGAGAUAAAGAAAGAACCAGCGCUACAAGAAGCAGGAGGGUCCUUCUGUAGGUCCUUCAACUCCUUGUUGAUCCGUUUUGAAGCCAUCUGGGAAUUUCUCAACAAACUGCAACGACAUCCAAAAGAAUAACACAAUUCAGUUCGACUACAAAUGUAUUUCCCAAUCCUAUCUAGACCUAAACAAAAAUAACACUAACAAAAAUAGUUGCCCGAUAUGGUGAAAUGUGAAUGUCAAAAAUACGAACGCGAGGUGACAAUAUUUCAAUCCAACACAAACAAGCAGUAAUUAUUUUGCCGAGGUGACAAUAUUUCAAUCCAACACAAACAAGCAGCAAUUAUUUUGUUCAAAAUAAUUAAAAGUAUCAUAACUGCUAGUUUCAAAACCAUUACCCUAUUCACUGCCAAACAUGUCACAGAAGAAAUUAGGUUUCAGUAGUUUUAAUUUUUAAAACCCUUCUAAUACAUAAAUCCCCCAAUUAAUCAACACCCAUUAACAUUCACAAGAAAUUAUUCACAAAAAAUUAUUUUUUCCCUUGAUUUUUCAGUCACCAAAAAAAUAAUUGAAAAAAACAUAAAACAACCAAUUAUUACCACCUCUAAAAGGACAAAUAAAAUAUACCCUCCAGAUCUAUAGACAGUACCAAAAAAAUAAUAAAUACAAAAAAUAUCUUUUUAAAUAAAACCUUAAUAAAAAUAAACAAUCAAACAACAAGCAGUGCCGGAUUAAAAUAUUAUAUGCACCGUAAUGAUAAUAAUGAUAACAAUAAUAAUAAAUAAGUUUACCCAACAGAGAAACAGUGCCGUACUUCGAGGGUUAUAUCUUAAAAGCAAACAGAAUCGAAAACACGAUCAUAAACCCUAACCCUAAUUCUAAAAAGUACAAAAAUUGUACCGACAGAUUUGAAGCAACAACCUUUAUUUAUAAAUUCAAACCAAAAUCAGGGACGAAGGCGUGAUUAUUGGGGAAUUUUCAAAAAUUAAUGAAGUAAUUGAGAAAUUUAAAAAAAAAUUAAAAAUUAAAAAUCGAAGCUUUACCUUUGUGGCCUGAGAGUUUGGGUCUGGUGUUAUUUUACGUUGCGAGUCAAAGUCACGCGAAAGCUUGUUUUGGGGUGAAUAUAUAGUGUGCGUGUGUGGCGGUCUCAUAUUGCCACGCACGGCUCCUACGUGGCAGAUUUUUGUUGGUCUGUUACUCUUAACUCUAUUAUGAGUAGUACUUGGCACUUACUGCUCUUGUGAAAUUUAUUUGGAAUAUAAUUACUCAAAAUAGUAAAUAAAUUAUAUGAUAAUGAUUUGAUAUUCUCAGAUAUAAAAUCAAAUGUUUUAAUUUUUUUUUAUAAAUAUGUCUUAAUGAUAUGAAAAACGUUGCUAACAAGUACUUAGCUAGUGAUUUAGGAUAUCAAAUAGUAUCCUAAGAAAAUUAAAUAGUGUAACUACGAGAAUAUAUACCACACAUAUGAAUGUAAUAUUUGGAUAUUAAUGAGAAUCAUCACAUGAUAAUUCUAAUUAUGAUUACCAUGAUAAUGAUGAUAUAUAUAUAUAUAUAUUUUACCAAGAUUCUCUAUUAUCUAAGUUUUUUAAUGAGCAAAGUACAAAUGAGUGAUUGGUGAUUAACAAGAAUUUGAAAGAAAUCUGUUUGGUUACUUGGUAUCAAUUGAUAGAGCCAACACUAGAGUCAGAGGUUGUUCAAAUAGCAAGAAGAUUGUUUUUUGGGUGGAGUUUUAAUGUAACUUGUACACGUUCCUAAUACGCUAUUCUCCUUUGUAAUGGAUUGAAUAUGCAUAUUGAUCUAAGGCUCCGUUUGGUACAGCUUAUUAAAUAGAGCUUAUAACAGUCUGCUGUACGGCCAAGGCGGAUGUACGGUACAGCAGUAAUAAGAAAAAAUUUGAUAAAACAAAUAGUAACACAUUACCUUCGGUGGCUUGAAUGGAUAAUCAGGUGGGAAAUGAAUGGAUACAAGAAAUACACCCCCAGCAAAUGGGCUGUCUGAUGGGCCCAUAAUUGUUGCUUGCCAAUGGAACAUGUCAUCAGCAACAGGGCCUGCAAAAUAGGCAGCACUCAAAAUUACAAAGUUCCAAAAG